Puntigrus tetrazona (Sumatra barb) is the source of this 4861-nucleotide long non-coding RNA. RefSeq lists it as uncharacterized. Lineage: Eukaryota; Metazoa; Chordata; Actinopteri; Cypriniformes; Cyprinidae. The transcript is spliced from 3 exons. The record is from RefSeq and is a predicted model, not a curated record.
AAGUCAAAACCAAGAAAAUUGCAUUUCAAAUGUGCUUUAGCUUUAGAUGAGGGCAUACUAUAAUUGCGCAGCAUUUUGUUUACAAAGUAAAUUGCCACAAAUUAUUUGAUUCAAUUUCAAAUGGCAAAUGUAAUCUGAUCCUUAGAACACAGAAAAUUGUUGACAGCCCAAACACCCACCCUGUUAAUAACAAUUAUAUUCUUCAUGUAGUUCAGUAAAUAUAAAUUUGAUUUGAAUAGAAGCAUCUGAAUCAAUAGAUGAAUAAGUCCUUUGGCACUUUAAUCCUUUUUUAUAGCAUAUAUGCCAAUUAGCCUAAAACCUUAUGGAAUUAAGCUUUUUAAAGCCAUCUUUCUCUGUCUCUGUGCAUUUAGGAUUAAAAAAAAACACCAAUAGACAAUGCUGGCCAGAAACUAAUUAACUGUACAUGCAAUUCCAUGUUAUAACUGAAGCAGACUCACACAGGAUGUAGAUAAAAUGAUAAGGUUUAUUUGCACAGAUGAGCAACAGAAAGUCUAUACUAGAAGAAUCAGGCGAGUAUAUAGUACUUAGAAAGUCAAUGACUGGAAUCACAGUAAUAUUGAGCACAGUUCUCAUCUUUUCCAGGAAUCAGGAGCACAGGAAAGACGAAGGAGAUCCUGGAAGCACACACCACAAUCACAGAGAACGCUGACGGAGACACUGGAGACAACUACAACAUAAAGAGAAACACAAGAGCACUUGAGCUGAUGAUUUGCCUCUGAGUCACUGCCACUUUGUGAAGACAGCACUGGAGAUUCGUGUCCACUCAAUCAACUCUUCCAGUAAUUAGCUCCAAAUUGCAUGCAAGGGGACCUGCUGAAGUGCCAUUACAUUUUCUACAUGUUUUGCUUGGAGACCUUGUUCUUUUUAAUUAAACAUUCAUUAUGUACGUUGUUAGAAUAAAUCAUAAAUAAAAAAGCAAACACCAUCAUGAUCUCUGUGGUCAACUCCACGCUCCAUUAAACAAAUUGUGGUUCACAUAAAUAAGGAAUGUGUUUUGUUGUUUUUUUGUAUCUUGUGGAAAAAUAUGUUUUAGAGUGCCAGAAAAGGAUCUAAUUUGUAAGGAAAUUGAAGAAGCAGAUCACACUGAAUUUACAAGGAUUACUUCAUACAUAAACUUUCUGCAAUAAACUGUUUAGUUCUCAAAUAUGAAUCUUAGUCUACGAUUUAGGACAUAUUUGCGUAUACUUACUCAACGGGCAAGAAAAGUGAAAAACAUGCUAAUGCAUGCAAAUAGUCAGGAAAUUUCCUAAAAUGUUUUACCGUUGGUUAAAACAGCACAGCAACAUGAUUAUAGUCAUGGCAGCAGUCCACAGUCUAUGAAGACCGAGGUGUCGAUUUUGAAAAUCAGCUGCUAUAAGUAUCGGAGGCUCCACAGCUCAGUGUGCUCUGAAGUGGUGCCAGGAACUACUGGUCUUUAAUUUGGUCAGGCAGGUGUGGGAUUUGGGCCCGCCUGGGUCCUUAUUGCUUUGCUAGGCAAUCAUCAGCCUGAUCAGCUGUGCGCCUCACUUGUUUAUAAGCUUUGUAAUCAUUGCGAGGUUUAUGAAAAACCAGUAAGUGAAAUUAUGUUACCUAGAUGACUUUUACCUUAAGGUCUCCUUUGUGUUAAUAAAACACUAACCAGUUAUCAUUAACAUUUAAUGUUAGAAAACAUGGUCACACUUUAUUUUAAGGUCUAAUUUUCACUAUUAAUAAACCAUUAACUGUGAUUAAUAUCUAAUUUGAUGCUUAUUAAUAGUUAAAAAGGUAGUUGUUCAUUUUAGGUGUUAUGGCUUUUGUUUAUUUUGUUUAAAUUUAGAAUGCAUAAUGUAUUUUUUUCCUUUAGAGUAGCUCAUAGCUGAAUCCAAUGGUCACACUAUGGGCAAUGUGUGAUUAUCAUCUACUGGAGUGCCCGUGAAAGCUAAUAGAGGGCACUCCUCCCAGAUAAUUGCCCAUUGUUGGUGGACUUCAGUUCCCAUCACCUCUUGCUUUGAUUAUUGGUCCAUUACCUUCAGAUGUGUGUAGUUAAGAGAUACUCAGUUCAGCUGUAUUUAUAGCCUGUGGUUUGUGUCGAUUGUUGCUGGAGUAUUGCUUCCUGUCAGGAUCACUAUCGUCAAAGAUGAUUGACAAUUAGCAUGCAGUUUGAAUUGGCGUUGUGGUUCUGUUCCGGGCAUGGUCUCGCCGUGCAUCCAUGCAGCUUAGCAUGGAUGAGCAGAGAAAGCAGCAAUAACCCCCCAAGGAAACAGUACAGAACCAAUGAAUGUAUUGCAGAUAUUUUUAAAAUUCGUAAUUUUUGUACAUGUUUUGUACAAGGAGAACCAGUAGGCUGGAUCCUGACUGACAUAGGAGGAGUUAGGGCAAUGCAAAAAAUUAUAACAGUACUGACAGACCUUGUAAAAAAUGUAAUUAACAAAAUGUUGGAAGGUCAAAAAUAUUUUAGUUGAACUAAUUUUAUUGCUUAGUUGAGAAGAUUAUAUUUAAUCUCCGCAAAUAUAUUUUAAAAUAUUAAAUGAGUUUUUUUUUCAAAUCCAGUCAACAUUCAGACUUCUAAAUGUUGACUAAGCUAAUAAAAACUAACACCAAAAUCAUUCUGCACAUGCAAGAGCCUGAUCGAGUGACUUUGUGGGAGAAACAAUGCUGCCAUCUUGUUCACGCCUCAGUCUGUAUCCAGAUCAGAUGGUGGAACAGCAUCUAGAGAUUACCUCUACAGCCCCGAAUAUCAGUGGAGAUCAUGUCAGCUAGAUGAGCUCCAGAGACAGACCUCAUUGGCCAUCAGGACAAACCAUGAGAAGUCGUCUUCUCAGUCUGACCUGCGUUGCAGCCUGGAUUUGAACCAAGCCGUGCUGGUGUCAUCUGUCCUUGUUGCCUUCAUCUUGCUUAUUUGGGGACACUUUAUUACAGACAUUAUUGAAAGCGAGCUAAACUGGAUGAUGUUAACAAUGAAUCACCAAUGAACUAAGAAAAUUACUUAUUAAAAUUGCAUUAUUGACAAACUACUUUCCUGUUUGACUCUGUAAAGGUGCAUUGACACAAUUGCUAUUGUAUUAUGCGCUAUUUAUAUAAAGAUGAUUUGAUUUUGUAUACUGGAACACCUGGUUCAUUUUAUCUACUUAUUAUUAUUUUUAUUUUUUUUUACUUCUGCCUCAUUUAUAGAUGUAAUUGUGAACAAUACUUGUUUGUUUGCUAACAUUUUGUUUAGUUAAGUGUAAAGUCAAUUUUGCUGUUGUAUUACAGAUGUAAUGUUUGUCAACUGGAGCUUUUGAACUAGAGCUUUUUAUUCCUGUAUGUUUAGUUUAUAUGAAAAACGUUUUAAAUUUCAAUUUAUUACGUUGCCCAAAUUAAUCAAUCACUUUUAUAUAGUGCUUUUAAUGAUGCAGAUUUUAUCGAAGCACUGAACAGUAGCAAAUAGGAGAAUACAAUGACAAGGCUAUAUAAUGACAAGACUGAACAAUUUGUUAUUAAAUGCAGAGAUGGUUUCUGUAAUCAAAUCCAUAAAGAAUGGAGAAAAGACAUGGUGCACCCAGACUCAAAAUAAUGCAGCCUAACAAUCCUUUAACGGAUUUGAGUAAUAGAAGUGUACUAGUGUGUUGUGUGUAAGCCAGGUUAAAGAGAUAGAAUGUGACUGCUUCCCGAAAAGUGUUAGGGAGAUUGUUCUAAAUAGAGGUUGGGUGCUAAAUAGGAAUAGAAUCUGCCGGUUUGUCAAUGGAUUGUCAAAAAUGAGAAUAUGGUGACAUGCCAAUGAGCUAAUCAAUUCAAAGAACCUGCAAAGGUUUCCUGAGCCUUCAAAAUGGUUUUUCAGUUUUGUUCACUAGGCUACACAAUCAUAUGGAAGACUGCUGAUCUGACAGUUGUCCAGAAGACAGUCAUUGAGACCCUUCACAAAGAGGGUAAGGCACAAACAUUGAAGUGAGGUGAGGAUGGAGGAGGAAGACUAGCAGUUGACUAGUGGCCAAGAAAGGGGCCAUCCACAACUUCAUCAACUCCUCAUUCUCUUCCAGGAAGAAAAGAACUGUGGCGGAAUGUGGUCGCGAGCCAUGGUUCAGAAACUGCUCUCUUGUGAAACACUCAGGGGAAUCGCUGAACAAACACUGUCACUUCAUGACACAAUAAAUGUAAAAGUAAUCUGCAUGUAUACAUUACACAUAGAUUCUUAUUAAGUUAAUAAGUGAUUGAGUCAAGAGCAGUGAGUGAUUUUCUCCUUUCAUUUACCGAUUUAAUCAGGCUGUCAACACAAACAGGUUGAGAUCUGACGCAUAGAUCAAAUAUUGUAAAACAGCUGUAUUUCUCCCAACUGUUUAAGUUCACUUAAGACAAAACUGAAUGCAUUUACAUGACAAGUCAUCAGGACAUAUUGACAUAUGGUCACACACCGGACAAGAAUCGCAGCGCUGCGUAUCAUCACAUUGUGCCACGUCAUUUUUAUUAGCUUACACACACUGGCAGUGCCUACCAACGUUUCAAACUAUGUAAAGACAUGAGGUGGGGCUAUUAAUUACCUGUUUUUUGUGACGUGAGUCGGCUAGCAGACAUUUGGUUUAGCCAGUCUGUCUAUGUCCUGACCUGGGCCUUGUUAGUCAAGUACAAGAUCUAAGAAUAUAUGCCAUAUUUCUAGAGAGAACAGUGGCACCUCCUCAGGAAGGAUGAAGACCAACUCUUUUAACAGGUCAGGUAUGCCCCAAAAACUCAUUCAAUUGUCUAUGAAACCUAUGUUAUUAGGCAGGCACCACUUAGACAUCCAGCCAUUAAGAAACAACAGUCUACUGUGCAUCACGUCACACACAUCCAUGUUAUUUUUAGUGAUCUCCAACUGGCCAAGUCGAACAUCAUUAGCUCUGACAUGAAUAACAAUCUUACUGAAUUUAUU